This 236-nucleotide ribosomal RNA is filed under the name uncultured bacterium. RNAcentral describes it as "partial small subunit ribosomal RNA". It matches the Rfam family "Bacterial small subunit ribosomal RNA", at positions 26 to 288 of the family's 1533-position model. The record is from RNAcentral.
AGAGCGAACGCUGGCGGCAGGCCUAACACAUGCAAGUCGAGCGGCCGUAGCAAUACGGCAGCGGCAGACGGGAUAGUAACACGUGGGAACGCGCCCUUCGGUUCGGAAUAACUCAGGGAAACUUGAGCUAAUACCGGAUACGCCCUUACGGGGAAAGAUUUAUUGCCGAAGGAACGGCCCGCGUCCGAUUAGCUAGUUGGUGAGGUAAUGGCUCACCAAGGCUCCGAUCGGUAGCU